UACUCUGCGAGGAGGAAUCUGAAGGAAGCCUGCGGUAAAUCUCUGGCCUGAGGAACAGGAAGCAGAUGAGGCAAUGACAUGUGGGUGAGUUUGCAUUCCAAACGAAGCCCUAAACUAUCCGAAAUGUGUUGUUGUAGAUCUGACAGGUAGAUGGAGAGAAAGUUUGCGCU
RNAcentral lists this non-coding RNA (170 nucleotides) under Pedobacter antarcticus. Lineage: Bacteria; Pseudomonadati; Bacteroidota; Sphingobacteriia; Sphingobacteriales; Sphingobacteriaceae. The record is from RNAcentral.